GCCGACGACUAUUAUAACAAUCGCACUCGUAACGCGAAGGUCGUAGGUUCGAUUCCUAUUGCCGGCACCA
RNAcentral lists this transfer RNA (70 nucleotides) under Methylomonas koyamae. RNAcentral's name for it is "tRNA-Thr". It matches the Rfam family "tRNA". From Rfam's summary of the family: Transfer RNA (tRNA) molecules are approximately 80 nucleotides in length. Lineage: Bacteria; Pseudomonadati; Pseudomonadota; Gammaproteobacteria; Methylococcales; Methylococcaceae. RNAcentral also lists the same sequence under 1 other name. The record is from RNAcentral.